CACACCGCCCGUCGCUACUACCGAUUGAAUGGCUCAGUGAGGCCUUCGGACUGGCUUAGGGAGGUUGGCAACGACCACCCCGAGCCGGAAAGUUCGUCAAACUCGGUCAUUUAGAGGAAGUAAAAGUCGUAACAAGGUUUCCGUAGGUGAACCUGCGGAAGGAUCAUUACCGUGGGGAUUCGUCCCCAUUGAGAUAGCACCCUUUGUUUAUGAGCACCAUUGUUUCCUUGGCAGGCUUGCUUGCCAGUGGACACCCCAAAAACCCUUUGCAGUAGCAGUAUCUUCAGUAAAAACAAAUAUUAAAACUUUCAACAACGGAUCUCUUGGUUCUGGCAUCGAUGAAGAACGCAGCGAAAUGCGAUAAGUAGUGUGAAUUGCAGAAUUCAGUGAAUCAUCGAAUCUUUGAACGCACAUUGCGCCCUUCGGUAUUCCGUUGGGCAUGCCUGUUCGAGCGUCAUUUAAACCUUCAAGCUAUGCUUGGUGUUGGGUCUUGUUCGCGUCUUUGUGCGUGGACUGGCCUUAAAUUCAUUGGCAGCCGGUAUGUUGGUUUCGUGCGCAGCACAUUGCGUUUUGAUUCCAGCCUGCCCCCUUCCAUUAAGCCUCUUUUUUACUUUGACCUCGGAUCAGGUAGGGAUACCCGCUGAACUUAAGCAUAUCAAUAAGCGGAGGAAAAGAAACCAACAGGGAUUGCCUCAGUAACGGCGAGUGAAGCGGCAAUAGCUCAAAUUUGAAAUCUGGCUCUUUCAGGGUCCGAGUUGUAAUUUGCAGAGGGCGCUUUGGCGUCGGCAGCAGCCUAAGUUCCUUGGAACAGGUCAUCAUAGAGGGUGAGAAUCCCGUAUGUGGCUGCUUGUCUUCGCCGUGUAAAGCCCCUUCGAUGAGUCGAGUUGUUUGGGAAUGCAGCUCUAAAUGGGAGGUAAAUUUCUUCUAAAGCUAAAUAUUGGCCAGAGACCGAUAGCGCACAAGUAGAGUGAUCGAAAGAUGAAAAGCACUUUGGAAAGAGAGUCAAAAAGCACGUGAAAUUGUUGAAAGGGAAGCGCUUGCAGCCAGACGUGCCCGCAGUUGCUCAUCCAGGGUUUUCCCUGGUGCACUCUUCUGUGGGCAGGCCAGCAUCAGUCCGGGCGGUUGGAGAAAGACCUGUGUCAUGUAGCUCUUUUCGGGGAGUGUUAUAGGGCAGGUGGAAUGCAACCAGCCUGGACUGAGGUCCGCGCAUCUGCUAGGAUGCUGGCGUAAUGGCUGUAAGCGGCCCGUCUUGAAACACGGACCAAGGAGUCUAACAUCUAUGCGAGUGUUUGGGUGUCAAGCCCGAGCGCGUAAUGAAAGUGAACGGAGGUGGGAACCCCUCGGGGUGCACCAUCGACCGAUCCUGAUGUCUUCGGAUGGAUUUGAGUAAGAGCAUAGCUGUUGGGACCCGAAAGAUGGUGAACUAUGCCUGAAUAGGGUGAAGCCAGAGGAAACUCUGGUGGAGGCUCGCAGCGGUUCUGACGUGCAAAUCGAUCGUCAAAUUUGGGCAUAGGGGCGAAAGACUAAUCGA
RNAcentral lists this ribosomal RNA (1531 nucleotides) under Praetumpfia obducens. RNAcentral describes it as "eukaryotic LSU rRNA". The stretch from base 614 to 1531 matches the Rfam family "Eukaryotic large subunit ribosomal RNA", at positions 1 to 938 of the family's 3401-position model. The record is from RNAcentral. Lineage: Eukaryota; Fungi; Ascomycota; Dothideomycetes; Pleosporales; Melanommataceae.